RNAcentral lists this ribosomal RNA (466 nucleotides) under uncultured bacterium. RNAcentral describes it as "partial 16S ribosomal RNA". It matches the Rfam family "Bacterial small subunit ribosomal RNA", at positions 28 to 507 of the family's 1533-position model. The record is from RNAcentral.
GAUGAACGCUGGCGGCGUGCUUAACACAUGCAAGUCGAACGGAAAGGCCCAAGCUUGCUUGGGUGCUCGAGUGGCGAACGGGUGAGUAACACGUGGGUGAUCUGCCCUGCACUUUGGGAUAAGCCUGGGAAACUGGGUCUAAUACCGGAUAGGACCAUCGGUUAGUGUCGGUGGGGGAAAGUUUUUCGGUGUGGGAUGAGCUCGCGGCCUAUCAGCUUGUUGGUGGGGGUAUGGCCUACCAAGGCGUCGACGGGUAGCCGGCCUGGGAGGGUGUACGGCCACAUUGGGACUGAGAUUCGGCCCAGACUCCUACGGGAGGCAGCAGUGGGGAAUUUUGCACAAUGGGCGCAAGCCUGAUGCAGCGACGCCGCGUGGGGGAUGACGGCCUUCGGGUUGUAAACUCCUUUCGCCAAGGACGAAGCGUUUUGUGACGGUACUUGGAGAAGAAGCACCGGCUAACUACGUG